This is a long non-coding RNA of Carassius auratus (goldfish), 1596 nucleotides long. RefSeq lists it as uncharacterized. NCBI's taxonomy places the organism in Eukaryota, Metazoa, Chordata, Actinopteri, Cypriniformes, Cyprinidae. The record is from RefSeq and is a predicted model, not a curated record. The transcript is spliced from 4 exons.
CAUCCACUCUUCAUGAUCUCACACACACACAAACAUCUCCUUGUGACAUUCAGUCAUACUCUUAUUCUUCUGGAGUUUCUCUGAAAGCUACUGCACAUUUGCUCCAGACCACCUUCACAUUUCACCCACUUCAGACCAGUUUGAAAUAAACUAAGAUACAAGUAUAUUAACGUGCAGAAACCCUACAAGAGACCCUUUCAUUCUACGCUUGUGAGGGAGGCGGUCCUUGUGGAGCGCUGGUGAAUCAUUGGGAGGAGGGAGGAGGUGUGACCGCUCCGCUUCUGUAACGUGUGAAAAGUCACUUCUCCAUGAGCUUAUAAGAUCCGCGCAGCACGAGCACACAAAACUCCAGCUGCUGCAGCCUGAACCUCGCUGUCGAACAUGAACAAACGCCUUUACUGGAGCUGCUCUUGAUUUGCUCUUUUCUGAUUUGAAUGCAACACCGGAUUAUUCUAUCAUCUUUAAGGAGACAUGACUAAAUUACUAAAGGAGCGAUCUGCAGAUGAAAGACAAGAAGAGAAUGAAAGAGAAAAAUAACAAGAUACAACCUAAAGAACCAGGAGAGGAAAAGACACUGAUGUUAGUCAGAAGAAACAGCUUUCAUUACUUCAAACCAAACUUUUCUCAAGAUGUUCCAGAAAAAGUGUCCGACUCUCACACAUCAUCAUCUCCAGCAGCUGAUUCCUGAUCUUCAGAUAGAGUUCAGUUUUCUGAAGAUCAACACAAAUCUGAUCAGCUUGAUCCUGAUGAGGACACAUUUCUCUCCUGAUGGGAGUGUUGUCCUCCAGGAUGAGGACACGAGGAUCACUGAAGGGUUCAGUCUCCAGAUCUAAACUCAUUUAAACAGCUGAGAGAUUGAUGAAGACAGCGCUCUGCGUCUCCAUCAAAACACCAAACCAGGAACAUCUUUAGGAAGAAGGAACGGUGAACGAGAAUGUUCUGGAAAGUGGUUCUGUGUCUCUGGGAUGAUGAACAUCGAGGCGUCUCUCAAUUAAAGGACUGUUCACACCAAACACCAUCAUUCUCAGUAUUAAAGAACAUCAGAGUCCAUACCACAACUAUAAUGAUAAAGACACAGAGAAACAAUAUCAUUGUCACUUUAUGAACAAUUUUUUACAGCUGAUGAAAGAUAGAAAGAUUAACAGCCAAUCAGAAUCCAUCCUGCUGUGUGUUUAGAAUAAACAGACGAUAGACUGCUGUGGACGCUAAUAUCUUUAUCUUUAUAGUUAUCAUUCUUGGCAUGAAUGGGGCUAUAGAAUGAGAUUUUUAUACAGGUUCAUGUUCUUUGAAUCACUGAUUACUGUAUGGACUACUGUAGUAUGAUAUUAGAUGUAAUAUAGUGUUGUGCAGCACCAGUGUCUCAGAUUUGAUUCUCAGUGAAAACACAAAAGUCAUGAGAUAUACAGCUUUAAUGCAGUGAUUAUCAAACACCUAAACUGUACACUUUCAAUGUCUCCUCACAGUAUGAUGCAGGCAUUUAAAGCUGGGGAGUGAACUAAAUAUGAAUUAUUUAUAUAAAACUGUAUUGCAAUAAAUCUGUACUACAACAGAGAAUAAAACUGGUUCACACUUGUAAAAAUAAAAGAAGAAAAAGUA